CACGUAGGCACCAAGCGUUGUCCGGAUUUAUUGGGCGUAAAGAGCGUGUAGGCGGCCUUACAGGUCAGCUGUGAAAACUCGAGGCUCAACCUCGAGACGUCGGUUGAAACCGUAAGGCUAGAGUCCGGAAGAGGAGAGUGGAAUUCCCGGUGUAGCGGUGAAAUGCGCAGAUAUCGGGAAGAACACCCGUGGCGAAGGCGGCUCUCUGGGACGGUACUGACGCUGAGACGCGAAAGCGUGGGGAGCGAACAGG
RNAcentral lists this ribosomal RNA (253 nucleotides) under uncultured bacterium. Its description in RNAcentral is "partial 16S ribosomal RNA". It matches the Rfam family "Bacterial small subunit ribosomal RNA", at positions 524 to 776 of the family's 1533-position model. The record is from RNAcentral.